This 288-nucleotide long non-coding RNA is filed under the name Nicotiana benthamiana. Its description in RNAcentral is "long non-coding RNA (NBEN_LNC034597)". The record is from RNAcentral. Lineage: Eukaryota; Viridiplantae; Streptophyta; Magnoliopsida; Solanales; Solanaceae.
UCAACAGGACAAUCCAUUCGAGUAGAAAACGCAUAUUUUUCUAUCAUCAGGAGGAAGCAAAAUGAGAAUAUUCAAAUUAACACAAAGUCAUUCGUUCAGUUUGGACUUUGGAAGGCAGCCACCUCAUAUGUAAUGCUACCACGAAAUAUAUGGUUGUGCUUAAACCACUUGAAAGUCAUUCAUUCAGUUUGGACUUUGGAAGGCAGCCACCUCAUAUGUAAUGCUACCACGAAAUAUAAGGUUGUGCUUAAACAACUGCAACUCGAUUUCAUUAGUACGACCCUCCUC